GACGAACGCUGGCGGCGUGCUUAACACAUGCAAGUCGAACGGUGAAGGGGUCUGCUUUUGUGGGCCCUGGAUGAGUGGCGAACGGGUGAGUCACACGUGAGUAACCUGCCCCCUUCUUCUGGCUAACCGCAUGAAAGUGUGGCUAAUACGGGAUAUUCUGGGUCUGUCGCAUGGUGGGGCUGGGUAAGAUUGCGCCUUUGGGUGUUUUUGGUGGGGGAUUGGCUCGUGGCGUAUUGGCUUGUGGGUGGUGUGAUGGCCUACCAGGGCGGUGACGGGUAGCCGGUCGGAGGGGGGCGACGGUCAGAGGGGGACUGGGACACUGCGGAGACUGCUACGGGAGGGAGCAGUAGGGGAUAUAGCAGAGGGGGAGCAAGCCUGAUGCAGCGACGCCGGGUGAGGGAUGGAGGCGUUCGGGUUGUAGGCCUCUGGGGCGAGAGAAGCAGGCCUGCUCCAUGUGGGUGGAUUGACGGUAGCUGGAUAAGAAGCGCCGGCUAACUACGUG
This 502-nucleotide ribosomal RNA is filed under the name uncultured bacterium. RNAcentral's name for it is "partial 16S ribosomal RNA". It matches the Rfam family "Bacterial small subunit ribosomal RNA", at positions 28 to 507 of the family's 1533-position model. The record is from RNAcentral.